RNAcentral lists this ribosomal RNA (440 nucleotides) under uncultured bacterium. RNAcentral's name for it is "partial 16S ribosomal RNA". It matches the Rfam family "Bacterial small subunit ribosomal RNA", at positions 338 to 795 of the family's 1533-position model. The record is from RNAcentral.
CCUACGGGAGGCAGCAGUAGGGAAUAUUGCUCAAUGGGGGAAACCCUGACGCAGCAACGCCGCGUGGAGGAUGAAGGUUUUGGGAUUGUAAAAUCCUUUUGUUAGAGAAGAUAAUGACGGUAUCUAACGAAUAAGCACCGGCUAACUCCGUGCCAGCAGCCGCGGUAAUACGGAGGGUGCAAGCGUUACUCGGAAUCACUGGGCGUAAAGAGUGCGUAGGCGGGAUAGCAAGUCUGAUGGUAAAUCCUAAGGCUUAACCAUAGAACUGCAUUUGAAACUGUCAUUCUAGAGUAUGGGAGAGGUAGGUGGAAUUCUUGGUGUAGCGGUAAAAUGCGUAGAUAUCAAGAGGAAUACUGAUGGCGAAGGCGACCUGCUAGAACAUAACUGACGCUGAUGCGCGAAAGCGUGGGGAGCAAACAGGAUUAGAUACCCCUGUAGUC